This 253-nucleotide ribosomal RNA is filed under the name uncultured bacterium. Its description in RNAcentral is "partial 16S ribosomal RNA". It matches the Rfam family "Bacterial small subunit ribosomal RNA", at positions 523 to 776 of the family's 1533-position model. The record is from RNAcentral.
UAACGGAGGGUGCGAGCGUGUCCGGAUUUAUUGGGUUUAAAGGGUGCGUAGGUGGGUUAAUAAGUCAGUGGUGAAAUACGGUUGCUCAACAAUCGAGGUGCCAUUGAUACUGUUAAUCUUGAAACAAGUGGAGGUUGCCGGAAUGGAUGGUGUAGCGGUGAAAUGCAUAGAUAUCAUCCAGAACACCGAUUGCGAAGGCAGGUGACUACGUUUGAAUUGACACUGAGGCACGAAAGCAUGGGGAGCAAACAGG